UACGUAGGGGGCAAGCGUUAUCCGGAUUUACUGGGUGUAAAGGGCGUGUAGGCGGGGAAUUAAGUCAGAUGUGAAACUCUGGAGCUCAACUCCAGAACUGCAUCUGAAACUAAUUCUCUUGAGUGCAGUAGAGGUAAGUGGGAAUUCCUAGUGUAGCAGUGAAAUGCGUAGAGAUUAGGAGGAACACCAGUGGCGAAGGCGGCUUACUGGGCUGUAACUGACGCUGAGGCGCGAAAGCGUGGGGAGCAAACAGG
Molecule: ribosomal RNA, 254 nt
Filed under: uncultured bacterium
Lineage: Bacteria
Description: partial 16S ribosomal RNA
Rfam family: Bacterial small subunit ribosomal RNA
Source: RNAcentral